GUGAACGAGCGACGCCGCGUGGAGGACGAAGGCCUUCGGGUUGUAAACUCCUGUCGAGGGGAAGGAAGGGGCCGCGAGGCCCUUGACCGCUCCCUGGAGGAAGCACGGGCUAAGUUCGUGCCAGCAGCCGCGGUAAGACGAACCGUGCGAACGUUAUUCGGAAUCACUGGGCUUAAAGCGCGUGUAGGCGGGGCGGUGCGUCGGUCGUUGAAAUCCCCCGGCUCAACCGGGGAAGUGGCGCCGAUACGACCGCCCUGGAGCGACGUAGGGGGAACUGGAACUUCCGGUGGAGCGGUGAAAUGCGUUGAGAUCGGAAGGAACGCCCGUGGCGAAAGCGAGUUCCUGGACGUCGGCUGACGCUGAGACGCGAAAGCCAGGGGAGCGAACGGGAUUAGAUACCCCGGUAGUCCUGGCCGUAAACGAU
RNAcentral lists this ribosomal RNA (424 nucleotides) under uncultured anaerobic ammonium-oxidizing bacterium. RNAcentral describes it as "bacterial SSU rRNA". It matches the Rfam family "Bacterial small subunit ribosomal RNA", at positions 383 to 810 of the family's 1533-position model. The record is from RNAcentral.